GCCCCUGUAGCUCAACUGGAUAGAGUAGGAGUGUUCUAAACUCAAGGUUGCAGGUUCGAGUCCUGCCAGGGGCACCA
RNAcentral lists this transfer RNA (77 nucleotides) under candidate division WWE3 bacterium CG22_combo_CG10-13_8_21_14_all_39_12. Its description in RNAcentral is "tRNA-Arg". It matches the Rfam family "tRNA". From Rfam's summary of the family: Transfer RNA (tRNA) molecules are approximately 80 nucleotides in length. Their secondary structure includes four short double-helical elements and three loops (D, anti-codon, and T loops). Further hydrogen bonds mediate the characteristic L-shaped molecular structure. tRNAs have two regions of fundamental functional importance: the anti-codon, which is responsible for specific mRNA codon recognition, and the 3' end, to which the tRNAs corresponding amino acid is attached (by aminoacyl-tRNA synthetases). tRNAs cope with the degeneracy of the genetic code in two manners: having more than one tRNA (with a specific anti-codon) for a particular amino acid; and 'wobble' base-pairing, i.e. permitting non-standard base-pairing at the 3rd anti-codon position. Lineage: Bacteria; candidate division WWE3. The record is from RNAcentral.